UACGUAGGGGGCGAGCGUUAUCCGGAUUUACUGGGUGUAAAGGGAGCGUAGACGGCAUGGCAAGUCUGGAGUGAAAGCCCGGGGCCCAACCCCGGGACUGCUCUGGAAACUGCCAGGCUAGAGUGCUGGAGAGGUAAGUGGAAUUCCUAGUGUAGCGGUGAAAUGCGUAGAUAUUAGGAGGAACACCAGUGGCGAAGGCGGCUUACUGGACAGUGACUGACGUUGAGGCUCGAAAGCGUGGGGAGCAA
RNAcentral lists this ribosomal RNA (248 nucleotides) under uncultured Lachnospiraceae bacterium. RNAcentral's name for it is "partial 16S ribosomal RNA". It matches the Rfam family "Bacterial small subunit ribosomal RNA", at positions 524 to 771 of the family's 1533-position model. The record is from RNAcentral. Lineage: Bacteria; Bacillati; Bacillota; Clostridia; Lachnospirales; Lachnospiraceae.